AUUGAACGCUGGCGGCAGGCCUAACACAUGCAAGUCGAACGAGUGGCGGACGGGUGAGUAAUGUAUGGGAAACUGCCCGAUGGAGGGGGAUAACUACUGGAAACGGUAGCUAAUACCGCAUACCAUCGGAUGCACCCAUAUGGGAUUAGCUAGUAGGUGGGGUAAAGGCUCACCUAGGCGACGAUCCCUAGCUGGUCUGAGAGGAUGACCAGCCACACUGGAACUGAGACACGGCCCAGACUCCUACGGGAGGCAGCAGUGGGGAAUAUUGCACAAUGGGCGCAAGCCUGAUGCAGCCAUGCCGCGUGUAUGAAGAAGGCCUUAGGGUUGUAAAGUACUUUCAGCGAGGAGGCGUUACUCGCAGAAGAAGCACCGGCUAACUCCGUGCCAGCCGCCGCGGUAAUUC
RNAcentral lists this ribosomal RNA (406 nucleotides) under uncultured bacterium. RNAcentral's name for it is "partial 16S ribosomal RNA". It matches the Rfam family "Bacterial small subunit ribosomal RNA", at positions 30 to 526 of the family's 1533-position model. The record is from RNAcentral.